Molecule: ribosomal RNA, 253 nt
Filed under: uncultured bacterium
Lineage: Bacteria
Description: partial 16S ribosomal RNA
Rfam family: Bacterial small subunit ribosomal RNA
Source: RNAcentral
UACGGGGGGGGCAAGCGUUGUUCGGAAUUACUGGGCGUAAAGGGCUCGUAGGCGGCCAACUAAGUCAGACGUGAAAUCCCUCGGCUUAACCGGGGAACUGCGUCUGAUACUGGAUGGCUUGAGUUUGGGAGAGGGAUGCGGAAUUCCAGGUGUAGCGGUGAAAUGCGUAGAUAUCUGGAGGAACACCGGUGGCGAAGGCGGCAUCCUGGACCAACACUGACGCUGAGGAGCGAAAGCCAGGGGAGUAAACGGG